This 254-nucleotide ribosomal RNA is filed under the name uncultured microorganism. Its description in RNAcentral is "partial 16S ribosomal RNA". It matches the Rfam family "Archaeal small subunit ribosomal RNA", at positions 474 to 727 of the family's 1478-position model. The record is from RNAcentral.
UACCGGCGGCCCGAGUGGCGGUCACUAUUAUUGGGCUUAAAGCGUCCGUAGCCGGGUUGGGAAGUCCUCCGGGAAAUCUGGCCGCUUAACGGUCAGAAUGCCGGAGGAUACUCCCAGCCUAGGGAGCGGGAGAGGCCGAGGGUAUUCCCGGAGUAGGGGUGAAAUCCUAUAAUCCCGGGAGGACCACCUGUGGCGAAGGCGCUCGGCUGGAACGCGUCCGACGGUGAGGGACGAAGGCCAGGGGAGCAAACCGG